Molecule: ribosomal RNA, 637 nt
Filed under: uncultured bacterium
Lineage: Bacteria
Description: bacterial SSU rRNA
Rfam family: Bacterial small subunit ribosomal RNA
Source: RNAcentral
UAAAGAUUCAUCGCUGAUAGAUAGGCAUGCGUUCCACUAGGCAGUUGGCGGGGUAACGGCCCACCAAACCGACGAUGGAUAGGGGUUCUGAGAGGAAGGUCCCCCACAUUGGUACUGAGACACGGACCAAACUCCUACGGGAGGCAGCAGUGAGGAAUAUUGGUCAAUGGGCGUAAGCCUGAACCAGCCAAGUCGCGUGAGGGAUGAAGGUUCUAUGGAUCGUAAACCUCUUUUAUAAGGGAAUAAAGUGCGGGACGUGUCCCGUUUUGUAUGUACCUUAUGAAUAAGGAUCGGCUAACUCCGUGCCAGCAGCCGCGGUAAUACGGAGGAUCCGAGCGUUAUCCGGAUUUAUUGGGUUUAAAGGGUGCGUAGGCGGCCUUUUAAGUCAGCGGUGAAAGUCUGUGGCUCAACCAUAGAAUUGCCGUUGAAACUGGGAGGCUUGAGUAUGUUUGAGGCAGGCGGAAUGCGUGGUGUAGCGGUGAAAUGCUUAGAUAUCACGCAGAGCCCCGAUUGCGAAGGCAGCCUGCCAAGCCAUGACUGACGCUGAUGCACGAAAGCGUGGGGAUCAAACAGGAUUAGAUACCCUGGUAGUCCACGCAGUAAACGAUGAUCACUAGCUGUUUGCGAUACACAGUAA